This 993-nucleotide ribosomal RNA is filed under the name uncultured Bacillota bacterium. RNAcentral describes it as "bacterial SSU rRNA". It matches the Rfam family "Bacterial small subunit ribosomal RNA", at positions 505 to 1501 of the family's 1533-position model. Lineage: Bacteria; Bacillati; Bacillota. The record is from RNAcentral.
GUGCCAGCAGCCGCGGUAAUACGUAGGUCCCGAGCGUUGUCCGGAUUUAUUGGGCGUAAAGCGAGCGCAGGUGGUUUAAUAAGUCUGAUGUAAAAGGCAGUGGCUCAACCAUUGUGUGCAUUGGAAACUGUAAGACUUGAGUACAGGAGAGGAAGGUGGAAUUCCACGUGUAGCGGUGAAAUGCGUAGAUAUGUGGAGGAACACCGGUGGCGAAGGCGGCCUUCUGGCCUGUGUCUGACGCUGAGGCACGAAAGCGUGGGUAGCAAACAGGAUUAGAUACCCUGGUAGUCCACGCCGUAAACGAUGAGUACUAAGUGUUGGGGGAAACCUCGGUGCUGAAGUUAACGCAUUAAGUACUCCGCCUGGGAAGUACGGUCGCAAGACUGAAACUCAAAGGAAUUGACGGGGACCCGCACAAGCAGCGGAGCAUGUGGUUUAAUUCGAAGCAACGCGAAGAACCUUACCUGGACUUGACAUCCUUCUGACCGGUAAGUAACGUUACCAUUCCCUUCGGGGACAGAAGAGACAGGUGGUGCAUGGUUGUCGUCAGCUCGUGUCGUGAGAUGUUGGGUUAAGUCCCGCAACGAGCGCAACCCUUGUCUUUAGUUGCCAUCAGGUAAAGCUGGGCACUCUAGAGAGACCGCCGGGGAUAACUCGGAGGAAGGUGGGGAUGACGUCAAAUCAUCAUGCCCCUUAUGUUCAGGGCUACACACGUGCUACAAUGGCCGAUACAAAGGGCAGCAAGAGGGUAACCUUAAGCAAAUCUCAUAAAGUCGGUCUCAGUUCGGAUUGUGGGCUGAAACUCGCCCACAUGAAGUUGGAGUUGCUAGUAAUCGCGAAUCAGAAUGUCGCGGUGAAUGCGUUCCCGGGUCUUGUACACACCGCCCGUCACACCAUGGGAGUUGGAAGCACCCGAAGCCAGCUAUCUAACCGAAAGGGAGAAGUUGUCGAAGGUGAAGCCGAUGACUGGGGUGAAGUCGUAACAAGGUAACC